GAUGAACGCUGGCGGCGUGCCUAAUACAUGCAAGUCGAGCGAACAGACGAGGAGCUUGCUCCUCUGACGUUAGCGGCUGACGGGUGAGUAACACGUGGAUAACCUACCUAUAAGACUGGGAUAACUUCGGGAAACCGGUGCUAAUACCGGAUAAUAUAUUGAACCGCAUGGUUCAAUAGUGAAUGACGGUUUUGCUGUCACUUAUAGAUGGAUCCGCGCCGCAUUAGCUAGUUGGUAAGGUAACGGCUUACCAAGGCAACGAUGCGUAGCCGACCUGAGAGGGUGAUCGGCCACACUGGAACUGAGACACGGUCCAGACUCCUACGGGAGGCAGCAGUAGGGAAUCUUCCGCAAUGGGCGAAAGCCUGACGGAGCAACGCCGCGUGAGUGAUGAAGGUCUUCGGAUCGUAAAACUCUGUUAUUAGGGAAGAACAAAUGUGUAAGUAACUAUGCACGUCUUGACGGUACCUAAUCAGAAAGCCACGGCUAACUACGUG
This 497-nucleotide ribosomal RNA is filed under the name uncultured bacterium. Its description in RNAcentral is "partial 16S ribosomal RNA". It matches the Rfam family "Bacterial small subunit ribosomal RNA", at positions 28 to 507 of the family's 1533-position model. The record is from RNAcentral.